This 247-nucleotide ribosomal RNA is filed under the name uncultured Hyphomicrobiales bacterium. Its description in RNAcentral is "uncultured Rhizobiales bacterium partial 16S ribosomal RNA". It matches the Rfam family "Bacterial small subunit ribosomal RNA", at positions 796 to 1041 of the family's 1533-position model. Lineage: Bacteria; Pseudomonadati; Pseudomonadota; Alphaproteobacteria; Hyphomicrobiales. The record is from RNAcentral.
CACGCCGUAAACUAUGGGUGCUAGCCGUCGGCAAGCUUGCUUGUCGGUGGCGCAGCUAACGCAUUAAGCACCCCGCCUGGGGAGUACGGCCGCAAGGUUAAAACUCAAAGGAAUUGACGGGGGCCCGCACAAGCGGUGGAGCAUGUGGUUUAAUUCGACGCAACGCGAAGAACCUUACCAGCCCUUGACAUGUCCGGACGAUUUCCAGAGAUGGAUUUCUCCUAGCAAUAGGUCGGAACACAGGUGC